CCCAGACAGCCAGGAUGUUGGCUUAGAAGCAGCCAUCAUUUAAAGAAAGCGUAAUAGCUCACUGGUCGAGUCGGCCUGCGCGGAAGAUGUAACGGGGCUAAACCAUGCACCGAAGCUGCGGCAGCGACACUCAGGUGUUGUUGGGUAGGGGAGCGUUCUGUAAGUCUGCGAAGGUGGCCUGUGAGGGUUGCUGGAGGUAUCAGAAGUGCGAAUGCUGACAUAAGUAACGAUAAAGCGGGUGAAAAGCCCGCUCGCCGGAAGACCAAGGGUUCCUGUCCAACGUUAAUCGGGGCAGGGUGAGUCGACCCCUAAGGC
Molecule: ribosomal RNA, 315 nt
Filed under: Salmonella enterica subsp. enterica serovar Infantis
Lineage: Bacteria; Pseudomonadati; Pseudomonadota; Gammaproteobacteria; Enterobacterales; Enterobacteriaceae
Description: bacterial LSU rRNA
Rfam family: Bacterial large subunit ribosomal RNA
Source: RNAcentral